UUAACACAUGUAAGUCAGAUGGGGAAGUGAUGUUUCCAGUGGCGGACGGCUGAGUAACGCAUAAGAACCUGUCAUUGGGAGGGGAAUAACAGUUGAAAACGGCUGCUAAUACCUGUAGGCUGAGGAGCAAAAUGAGAAAUUCGCCCAAUGAGGGGCUCGCACCUAAUUAGCUAGUUGGUGAGGCAAUAACUCAAUAAGACGAUGAUCAAUAGCUAGCCCGAAAGGAUGAUCAGCCACAAUGGGCUAAGACACGGCCCAUAAUCGAUAAAAAGUUG
Molecule: non-coding RNA, 275 nt
Filed under: Daucus carota subsp. sativus
Lineage: Eukaryota; Viridiplantae; Streptophyta; Magnoliopsida; Apiales; Apiaceae
Description: Bacterial small subunit ribosomal RNA
Rfam family: Bacterial small subunit ribosomal RNA
Source: Rfam by way of RNAcentral